AUGAAGAGGCGGAAGGGAAUUUGGAUCGAGAUCAACAACUGCGAGGAGGGGGAGGGGAGCGAGAGGGGUAGCGUGGUGGCCAGCAAGGGGAGCACCAUCACGGGAGCCGCGUCCUCCCGGUCCACGGCCAUGUCGGGGAGAUGCCGCCGACCUCCGCUGGCGAGCGGCGGCUGUGAGAGCCUGGUGCGGAGGGCGGACUCGAUCAUGAAGUCACUCUCGUGGUCCAAGGCGGUGCCGGUCACGGAGACGGCCAUCCGCGCCGCCGUUGGCGACAACGCUGUAACUAGCAAGGCUGUGCGCUGGUUGCUGAAGCAGAAGAGAGGGUUGCGUCGUGCGGGCACUGGUGGCCGCCCGGAUCCGUAUGUGUACAUGGUACGUGAAAUCUGUGCCACACAGUUUGCGUUUGGAUGA
Molecule: ribosomal RNA, 411 nt
Filed under: Triticum aestivum (bread wheat)
Lineage: Eukaryota; Viridiplantae; Streptophyta; Magnoliopsida; Poales; Poaceae
Description: partial small subunit ribosomal RNA
Source: RNAcentral